Molecule: long non-coding RNA, 727 nt
Organism: Eucalyptus grandis
Lineage: Eukaryota; Viridiplantae; Streptophyta; Magnoliopsida; Myrtales; Myrtaceae
Exons: 3
Source: RefSeq, a predicted model, not a curated record
CCCUAGGUGUUUAUACUAGCACUCUCAGCCACCUCCAACCAGGUUUGGGAAUCUACAUGAUGUACGUAUCUCUUAUUGUAACAUCUUUAUUCUGUCUCAUAAGGUGCAACUUUACAGGUGGAGAAAGAAAUUGGUGAAAAAAGAGUGAUUACUUUCCACGGUGCUGGGUUAUCAGUUGGACCGGAGUUAAAUUCAAUGAAGUUACUUCCACCUGUUACGACUUUGAGGAGGCGAAGGAGGUAUAUGCACGGGCUCUUUAUGAGUAUUACUGCGCAAUAUAUUAUUCUCAAAUGUGCUAUACAUGACAAAAAAGGACUUGAAGCAUCAACUGCAGAGGUUUCCUUGUCGCAACCAUGGAAUUAUGAGAAUUAGUGGCAUCUUUCCAGAGGGGAAAGGUUCCCUUUUGGACGUGUAUUCAUAAUUCAUUAAGUAGAUAUCUUCUGAUCCAAUUCAAGUACAUACUGGAAAAUGGAGCUUUCUUUCUGCGGACCUUUUGACGAACUCUCGGAAGUACUCGAACCAGCCUCUCUUUUCUCCUUCCGUCCAUAGCUUCUGGGAGCUGACUAUCUGAAGUCCAGGGCUGCCUCAAUGUGGCGCAUUGUAUGCUGUACAGCAAUAGGUGGAGCUAGUCACUGAUCGGCCAUCUUACAGUCUCACAUGUAUAUGGUCUGCUGCAUAACAGCCAUCAAUUAAUCGCUCUAGUUAUCUUCCGUAGCUUUUUGCCUAA